UACGGGGGGGGCAAGCGUUGUUCGGAAUUACUGGGCGUAAAGAGCGCGCAGGCGGUCGUUCAAGUCGCGUGUGAAAGCCCCCGGCUCAACUGGGGAGGGUCACGCGAUACUGAUCGACUCGAAGGCAGGAGAGGGUAGUGGAAUUCCCGGUGUAGUGGUGAAAUGCGUAGAUAUCGGGAGGAACACCAGUGGCGAAGGCGACUACCUGGCCUGUUUUUUGACGCUGAGGCGCGAAAGCUAGGGGAGCAAACGGG
Molecule: ribosomal RNA, 254 nt
Filed under: uncultured bacterium
Lineage: Bacteria
Description: partial 16S ribosomal RNA
Rfam family: Bacterial small subunit ribosomal RNA
Source: RNAcentral